ACGCCGCUCCACGGUCAGAAGGAAGUCGAGCUCGAGCCCAGCCCCCCUCUUGUAAACGUUGCCGCGUGCGCGCUCCGUUGUCUGUUCACGUACGCGUUGAUGUAGCAACGCUAAUCCAGCAAGCUGGAGGCCAAUCUGUUCCCUGACACCGUUUGGGUUACAGUGACAAGGGCCGUGUCUGAGCCACGACUUGAGGAAGAUAAUAUUACAGUUCUACUGAAAAAGCCCAAUGCAGAAUGGGCCUGAAGCCAACCGGUACAAAUUCUGGGGUGAUACCGUAACAGAUGGGAGCCGGUAUAAAGUUGAAACAAGGUCAGUCUGACUUUGAGUGAUAAAGCUGUGGGCACAGCUCAUAGCAGUGUUUUAAAGUUGACUUAUGAAAACAGAUUGUGUGGUCAGAAGAAACUCUUCAGACCAUAUUGUACCAUUUUUGUACAAGCUCCUUUGUCUGGAUUGCCCUAGGCAGAAACGACAGACGGAAAAUAAGAGAAUACAAAAAUUCAUUGUUAAGUCGGUUAAGUGAUCAGCAGAAUGGCCGAUGUAAAGUUUCCAUUGUUGUCUAUGUUCUUGCACAGUUGGUUUUUAUUGUGUUCACCUUGAUUUCAUGUUAAGAGCUGAUGUUGUCUUCCAACACACAAGUGAUGCAGAGAAGGUCUAAGAACGUACCGGCCCCCAUAUAGAGAUUAAAUCGAGUGCUGAACUUUGCCAUCACAUCUA
Long non-coding RNA from Gadus chalcogrammus (walleye pollock), 717 nucleotides. RefSeq lists it as uncharacterized. NCBI's taxonomy places the organism in Eukaryota, Metazoa, Chordata, Actinopteri, Gadiformes, Gadidae. The transcript is spliced from 3 exons. The record is from RefSeq and is a predicted model, not a curated record.